UACAGAGGGGGCAAGCGUUAUUCGGAAUUAUUGGGCGUAAAGGGCGCGUAGGCGGCCUGGCAAGUGGAAGGUGAAAUCCCUCGGCUUAACCGAGGAACUGCCCUCCAAACUGCUUGGCUUGAGUCCGGGAGAGGUGAGUGGAAUUCCCAGUGUAGCGGUGAAAUGCGCAGAUAUCAGGAAGAACACCCGUGGCGAAGGCGGCUCUCUGGGACGGUACUGACGCUGAGACGCGAAAGCGUGGGGAGCGAACAGG
This 253-nucleotide ribosomal RNA is filed under the name uncultured bacterium. Its description in RNAcentral is "partial 16S ribosomal RNA". It matches the Rfam family "Bacterial small subunit ribosomal RNA", at positions 524 to 776 of the family's 1533-position model. The record is from RNAcentral.